AGUGCCAGCAGCCGCGGUAAUACGAGAGGUCCGAGCGUUACGCGGAAUUACUGGGCUUAAAGCGUACGUAGGCGGAUCUACAGGUAUCCUGUGAAAGCCCACGGCUCAACCGUGGAAUUGCAGGGUAAACCGUAGAUCUUGAGGUGGCUAGGGGCUCUCGGAACGGUAGGUGGAGUGGUGAAAUGCGUUGAUAUCUACCGGAACGCCAAAGGGGAAGCCAGGGAGCUGGGGCCAUUCUGACGCUGAGGUACGAAAGCGUGGGUAGCGAACGGGAUUAGAUACCCCGGUAGUCCACGCCGUAAACGAUGUGCACUAGGUCGAGGGGGUUUGACGCCGCUCUCGGCUGAAGCGAAAGUGUUAAGUGCACCGCCUGGGGAGUACGGCCGCAAGGCUAAAACUCAAGGAAUUUGACGGGGGCUCACACAAGCGGUGGAGCAUGUGCUUAUUCGAAGCAACGCGAAGAACCUUAUCCUGGUUUGACAUGCAUGGAUUAGCUUCUGAAAGGGAAAGUGACGCGCUUGCCGUGGACAUGCACAGGUGCUGCAUGGCUGUCGUCAGCUCGUGCUGUGAGUGUCGGUAAGUCCUACGAGCGCACCCCUAUCACUAGUGCUAGCGAGUAAUGUCAAGAACCCUAAGUGAAACGGGCCGGGUGUC
This 654-nucleotide ribosomal RNA is filed under the name uncultured bacterium. Its description in RNAcentral is "bacterial SSU rRNA". It matches the Rfam family "Bacterial small subunit ribosomal RNA", at positions 504 to 1161 of the family's 1533-position model. The record is from RNAcentral.